RNAcentral lists this ribosomal RNA (925 nucleotides) under uncultured bacterium. RNAcentral's name for it is "bacterial SSU rRNA". It matches the Rfam family "Bacterial small subunit ribosomal RNA", at positions 52 to 968 of the family's 1533-position model. The record is from RNAcentral.
CACAUGCAAGUCGAGGGGAACGACAUCGAAAGCUUGCUUUUGAUGGGCGUCGACCGGCGCACGGGUGAGUAACGCGUAUCCAACCUGCCCACCACUUGGGGAUAACCUUGCGAAAGUAAGACUAAUACCCAAUGACGUCUCUAGAAGACAUCUGAAGGAGAUUAAAGAUUUAUCGGUGAUGGAUGGGGAUGCGUCUGAUUAGCUUGUUGGCGGGGUAACGGCCCACCAAGGCGACGAUCAGUAGGGGUUCUGAGAGGAAGGUCCCCCACAUUGGAACUGAGACACGGUCCAAACUCCUACGGGAGGCAGCAGUGAGGAAUAUUGGUCAAUGGACGAGAGUCUGAACCAGCCAAGUAGCGUGCAGGAUGACGGCCCUAUGGGUUGUAAACUGCUUUUAUAAGGGAAUAAAGUGAGAGUCGUGACUCUUUUUGCAUGUACCUUAUGAAUAAGGACCGGCUAAUUCCGUGCCAGCAGCCGCGGUAAUACGGAAGGUCCGGGCGUUAUCCGGAUUUAUUGGGUUUAAAGGGAGCGUAGGCCGGAGAUUAAGCGUGUUGUGAAAUGUAGAUGCUCAACAUCUGAACUGCAGCGCGAACUGGUUUCCUUGAGUACGCACAAAGUGGGCGGAAUUCGUGGUGUAGCGGUGAAAUGCUUAGAUAUCACGAAGAACUCCGAUUGCGAAGGCAGCUCACUGGAGCGCAACUGACGCUGAAGCUCGAAAGUGCGGGUAUCGAACAGGAUUAGAUACCCUGGUAGUCCGCACGGUAAACGAUGGAUGCCCGCUGUUGGUCUGAAUAGGUCAGCGGCCAAGCGAAAGCAUUAAGCAUCCCACCUGGGGAGUACGCCGGCAACGGUGAAACUCAAAGGAAUUGACGGGGGCCCGCACAAGCGGAGGAACAUGUGGUUUAAUUCGAUGAUACGCGAGGAA